This 82-nucleotide transfer RNA is filed under the name Jaagichlorella roystonensis. RNAcentral describes it as "tRNA-Leu". It matches the Rfam family "tRNA". From Rfam's summary of the family: Transfer RNA (tRNA) molecules are approximately 80 nucleotides in length. The record is from RNAcentral. Lineage: Eukaryota; Viridiplantae; Chlorophyta; Trebouxiophyceae; Watanabeales; Watanabeaceae.
GCGGGUAUAGUGGAAUUGGUAAACACAUCAGGUUUAGGCCCUGAGACUCCAAGUCGUGCGGGUUCAAGUCCUGCUACCCGUA